CUCGUAUUCUCUCUCUCUCUCUCUGAGUGCCGCGUUUUUGGCCAUCAGUCUCUCUCCUGAGGGUCCUUUCUUCUGUUUUCAAUGUAUAUUAUUGUGUAUUAAGUAUACAAAUGCCUGAACACUGAAAGGUUUGUACGAGCUACACGCGCAGCAGGAAAAAGAAGCGAGAGUUUUCUCUCUCGGCCGGACGAUACCGGAGUCCAGAUCUGAAGUCAGAUCAGCCUAGCCUCUUCUGACAGUAUGGGCAACGAUUGGUGUUUGCUGACCGGUGGGAUCUGCUGUGCUGCUCUCCGACGACAGUAGAUUGGAUUAGGCUAGGAGAUCUUGGUCGAUUUCAUCUGUUGAUGAGGGGAAGUCUAGUGCGCUUUGGAUCGGCAGUAAGGUUGAAGUUGGAGUGGUAGCGGAUUCGAUGGAAAGAGACCAAUUUCUCUCAACACAAUGGUUUCACUUCCAAUUUAGUGACCCCAUCAGAGGACAACAGCAUAGCAUGGAGCACGGUAGAGAACUAGAGAUACUAGAGACCAGCUCGAGGGAGAGGGUCGAGAUUGAGCAGGUCUCAAAUCUUGAUUUUGAAGUUAUAAAAAAGGCGAUUGCAUCUGGCUUCAUUCAUCUGUGGCAAGCUCUAACCAAGCAGAAAUAUGUGGUUCUAUAAAGGAAGUUGAAGCAAUAUUGGAACAAGUACUACGAUUACUCAGGAUUUCCAUGAUUUUGUUGUAAAACAGAAAAAUUUCUGAGAGAGAGAGAGAGAGUUUGGACACAGAGCAUCAAAUUGUGUGUCUAUUCAUCUCACCAUGAGGGGAUUUAUAUAGGAGUACAUGAUGUAUACAAAUAGGC
Molecule: long non-coding RNA, 834 nt
Organism: Rosa chinensis
Lineage: Eukaryota; Viridiplantae; Streptophyta; Magnoliopsida; Rosales; Rosaceae
Exons: 4
Source: RefSeq, a predicted model, not a curated record